GAAGCGCCCACCCACAGCACCUGCUCUGCUGCCCCGGCUCCUGGCUGCAGCUGCACCAGCAACAUGCAGAGGCCCCCUGACUCCAGGACAGCGAGCCGUGUAGACUGUCCGAGAAGCAGGGAGUCAAGGGGCAGGACCCACACAGUUUCCUUUGCUCGCCCGUGUGGUGGCGUUUUGGACCCUGGGGCUCUGAUGCCGAAGGGGAGGUGAAAGCUUGGCCCUGCCCAGGGCACCUUGGGCCUGCCCGUCGGAUGCACCUGCCGGGAGGGGUGAUGACUCAGGGGAAUUCAAGGCUGCCGCAGACACCAGCCAGGCGGCCAGGCCUCCCUUGGCUGCCCCUCAUCCGAGGAGCGAGGAGCGGCUGGCAUCCCCGCACUGCCUGCCUCCUCCUCCACGUGGGCCCAGCCCUGAGCCCACUCCGCCUUUGUCACUACGCUGUUGUGUGACCACCAGAAAAGCACUGCCUCGGUUUCCCUGGUUAGAGCAUGGCGACAGUCUCGCCGGACUCCCAGAGGGGGAUAGGGACAAAAAGAGGUCCUCGGUGGGGAUGCCCACGGCCGUCCACGCAGGGGAAAGCCAACACCCCCCUCCCAGCCCCACCCCCAACGUCCUGGCUCCGCCCCUUCCAGGCACUGAGGCCCAAAUGCUAUUACUCCUAGCCAGGAUCUGAUAGGCGAGAGUGGGAGAAGUCGGCACAGGGGACCCGCUGGCUCGGGGCACUUGCAGUGCUGUCAGCUGGACCUUCGCCCUCGCCCCUGUGGCAGCGGGCGGUGGCUCUGGGAGCCCGGCUGUGCCUGGUCCUCGAUGGGCCGCUCCCCGUCUCUUGCGCUAGACUCUUAGGUGCACCCCUCUCCCAGCCAGGGCCAACCUAGGUCAGGGCCUCCUCCCCACUCCUGCG
RNAcentral lists this long non-coding RNA (898 nucleotides) under Sus scrofa (pig). RNAcentral describes it as "lncRNA (ENSSSCG00015020752.1)". Lineage: Eukaryota; Metazoa; Chordata; Mammalia; Artiodactyla; Suidae. The record is from RNAcentral.